GUUUCUCUGUCUUAUUUUUGUUCUUAUUUUAACCAGUAGCGGUAGAGAGGUUCAAAUUAUUUCUGUUUCAUCUUAGACUCAAUUCUUUUCUGCAGAAUAUAUAGAAAAACUAGGACGUUUUACCAUCUACGACAUGUAUGAUGCUAUAGAAGCUGUUUCCUUUGGAAAAACCUCACAGAAACAUCUCUUCUAAGGCAGACAACGUUUUUAUGAGUCCAUCAAUCAUGGUGUGUUUUCGCUUAGGAAGAGCUCUUUUGAAGAGACCGGAUGCCCAAUAGUUCUUAAGCAAAACAUCAGAGGACUUCACAGAAAUACGUGAAAAAGUUUGGACCACAGAAUCUAAAACCUAAAGUAAAAAAAUCUGGAACUUCCAAAAUAAAAUUCUCCGUUCCGUCACCAACUCGAUUUGAUUCGUGAGCAAUUUACGCAUUCAUAUCGUUCGAUCUUGACCAUUUGCAUGCUCAAGACACAUUCUAACAAGUUCUCAAUUUUAAAAGGUUUUUCUCCAAAGUGAUGAACUCAAAUUUCUCUUAUAUUGCCAAACAGGCAAAUUAUGGUCCCACAGUUGAACAACCAUUCAAAAGACCUC
RNAcentral lists this long non-coding RNA (589 nucleotides) under Stegodyphus dumicola. RNAcentral's name for it is "uncharacterized LOC118197637, transcript variant X1". Lineage: Eukaryota; Metazoa; Arthropoda; Arachnida; Araneae; Eresidae. The record is from RNAcentral.